Molecule: ribosomal RNA, 237 nt
Filed under: uncultured bacterium
Lineage: Bacteria
Description: partial 16S ribosomal RNA
Rfam family: Bacterial small subunit ribosomal RNA
Source: RNAcentral
GAUCCUGGCUCAGAUUGAACGCUGGCGGCGGGCUUAACACAUGCAAGUCGAACGGUAGCAGGAGGAAGCUUGCUUUCUUGCUGACGAGUGGCGGACGGGUGAGUAAUGCUUGGGAAUCUGGCUUAUGGAGGGGGAUAACGACGGGAAACUGUCGCUAAUACCGCGUAGUAUCGGAAGAUGAAAGUGCGGGACUGUAAGGCCGCAUGCCAUGAGAUGAGCCUAAGUGGGAUUAGGUAG